UAAAAAUCCAAACUUUUUGGGUUGGGAAAUCAUUCCAUAAAGAAGAGUUUUGUCCAUAAUAUAUUUCUGGUCAUGAGUUGUUUGGGAGUUUGUUAAUAAACUUCCUUCUUUUUCUCUCUUUCUUGACUAUUCUCUAGUUAUAUUAUUUGUGGCUUCCUUUUAAUUAGUUUAGUUUGUGGCUAAAAUGUAGAGGUUAGUUGGAGCCCUCUACUAUAUAAACCCCAUCUCAUUUGUAUAAAAACACACAACAAAAAAACCUUCUUCCUCUCCUUUGUUUGCUUCCUUAAGUCUGAAGGGAACACUAGCUGUGGAUCUGAGAACAAUAGACCAAUUUUAAUUGUUCGAAAAGGAUGAGCAUUUUUUGAGCUCACCAUUUGUAGUUUUUUCCAUCAAGCGCAGUGAUCUUGAUAGAUCGAGUUUCUGUCAUACCCAAUCUAUUCAAGAUCACUGUUCUCGAUGGGAAAAAUUACAAGCAGUGGGCUCGAAGAAUGUUCAUCUUUUUUGAACAAUUAAAAUUGAUUUAUGUCCACCCGAACCUACUCAGCCUUUUCUUGGUCCUAGAGAAGGCAUCCCUGAACUAGAUUACACUCCUGGUCAAGAACACGGAUAGUACAUGGAUAAAACACAGAUUCACAGUAAAGCCCAUUAGGUGAGAGAAUUAGAGCCUAAUGCACACGGAGCCCACCAUAUUUGGUGAGCUUUGUUUUUAGCUUAUGUAAUGUAGCCUGUAGGGAUGUACGUGUGGGUGUAUUGAAACAUCAAUAAUGUUUGGCAACAAGGAUAUGGAUACCACCAAAGAUUUCAUUAUGCAGACUAAUCAGCCAAAAAAUGUCAAGAUGCAGAUACAAUGAAAAUGGAUUGUACAAAAAAGAUUUGGUCUUUAAGAGCCAAUACAGACACACAAGUAGACAAGGGGAAAACAUUAAUGU
Ipomoea nil (Japanese morning glory) is the source of this 929-nucleotide long non-coding RNA. RefSeq lists it as uncharacterized. The transcript is spliced from 2 exons. NCBI's taxonomy places the organism in Eukaryota, Viridiplantae, Streptophyta, Magnoliopsida, Solanales, Convolvulaceae. The record is from RefSeq and is a predicted model, not a curated record.